AGGGGUGUAGCUCAGUGGUAGAGUGAGCGCUUAGCAUGCACGAGGUCCUGGGUUCAAUUCCCAGUCUCUCCA
RNAcentral lists this transfer RNA (72 nucleotides) under Camelus bactrianus (Bactrian camel). It matches the Rfam family "tRNA". From Rfam's summary of the family: Transfer RNA (tRNA) molecules are approximately 80 nucleotides in length. Their secondary structure includes four short double-helical elements and three loops (D, anti-codon, and T loops). RNAcentral also lists the same sequence under 2 other names. Lineage: Eukaryota; Metazoa; Chordata; Mammalia; Artiodactyla; Camelidae. The record is from Rfam by way of RNAcentral.